RNAcentral lists this ribosomal RNA (481 nucleotides) under uncultured bacterium. RNAcentral's name for it is "partial 16S ribosomal RNA". It matches the Rfam family "Bacterial small subunit ribosomal RNA", at positions 28 to 507 of the family's 1533-position model. The record is from RNAcentral.
GAUGAACGCUGGCGGCGUGCUUAACACAUGCAAGUCGAACGAAGCAUUUAGAACAGAUUACUUCGGUUUGAAGUUCUUUAUGACUGAGUGGCGGACGGGUGAGUAACGCGUGGGUAACCUGCCUUGUACUGGGGGAUAGCAGCUGGAAACGGCUGGUAAUACCGCAUAAGCGUACAAUGUUGCAUGACAUGGUGUGAAAAACUCCGGUGGUAUAAGAUGGACCCGCGUCUGAUUAGCUAGUUGGUGAGAUAACAGCCCACCAAGGCGACGAUCAGUAGCCGACCUGAGAGGGUGACCGGCCACAUUGGGACUGAGACACGGCCCAGACUCCUACGGGAGGCAGCAGUGGGGAAUAUUGCACAAUGGAGGAAACUCUGAUGCAGCGACGCCGCGUGAGUGAAGAAGUAAUUCGUUAUGUAAAGCUCUAUCAGCAGGGAAGAUAGUGACGGUACCUGACGAAGAAGCUCCGGCUAAAUACGUG